This 468-nucleotide ribosomal RNA is filed under the name uncultured bacterium. Its description in RNAcentral is "partial 16S ribosomal RNA". It matches the Rfam family "Bacterial small subunit ribosomal RNA", at positions 28 to 507 of the family's 1533-position model. The record is from RNAcentral.
GACGAACGCUGGCGGCGUGCCUAACACAUGCAAGUCGAACGGAAAGGCCCUGCUUUUGUGGGGUGCUCGAGUGGCGAACGGGUGAGUAACACGUGAGUAACCUGCCCUUGACUUUGGGAUAACUUCAGGAAACUGGGGCUAAUACCGGAUAGGAGCUCCUGCUGCAUGGUGGGGGUUGGAAAGUUUCGGCGGUUGGGGAUGGACUCGCGGCUUAUCAGCUUGCUGGUGGGGUAGUGGCUUACCAAGGCUUUGACGGGUAGCCGGCCUGAGAGGGUGACCGGCCACAUUGGGACUGAGAUACGGCCCAGACUCCUACGGGAGGCAGCGGUGGGGAAUAUUACAAAAUGGGAGGAAGCCUGAUGCAGCCACGCCGCGUGCGGGAUGACGGCCUUCGGGUUGUAAACCGCUUUCGCCUGUGACGAAGCGUGAGUGACGGUAAUGGGUAAAGAAGCACCGGCUAACUACGUG